CCCUUAGAUGCUCUGGGCCGCACGCGCGCUACACUGGUCGAUGCAACGAGUUUCUUUCCUUGGCCGACAGGCCUGGGCAAUCUUUGAACAUCGAUCGUGAUCGGGAUAGAUUCUUGUAAUUUUUGAUCUUAAACGAGGAAUUCCUAGUAAACGCAAGUCAUCAGCUUGCAUUGAUUACGUCCCUGCCCUUUGUACACACCGCCCGUCGCACCUACCGAUUGAAUGGUCCGGUGAAAUCUCCGGACUGGCGUGAGUCGGAGCAAUCUGACAAACGCCGGAAAGUUGACUAAACCUUACCAUUUAGAGGAAGGUGAAGUCGUAACA
This 324-nucleotide ribosomal RNA is filed under the name uncultured eukaryote. RNAcentral describes it as "partial 18S ribosomal RNA". It matches the Rfam family "Eukaryotic small subunit ribosomal RNA", at positions 1470 to 1796 of the family's 1831-position model. The record is from RNAcentral.